Molecule: ribosomal RNA, 301 nt
Filed under: uncultured bacterium
Lineage: Bacteria
Description: partial 16S ribosomal RNA
Rfam family: Bacterial small subunit ribosomal RNA
Source: RNAcentral
CAGUAGCCACGGUAAUACAGAGGGUGCGAGCGUUAAUCGGAUUUACUGGGCGUAAAGCGUGCGUAGGCGGCUUCUUAAGUCGGAUGUGAAAUCCCUGAGCUUAACUUAGGAAUUGCAUUCGAUACUGGGAAGCUAGAGUAUGGGAGAGGAUGGUAGAAUUCCAGGUGUAGCGGUGAAAUGCGUAGAGAUCUGGAGGAAUACCGAUGGCGAAGGCAGCCAUCUGGCCUAAUACUGACGCUGAGGUACGAAAGCAUGGGGAGCAAACAGGAUUAGAUACCCCGGUAGUCCCUGUCUCUUAUAC